UGGGGAAUAUUGCACAAUGGGCGCAAGCCUGAUGCAGCCAUGCCGCGUGUGUGAAGAAGGCCUUCGGGUUGUAAAGCACUUUCAGCGAGGAGGAAGAUGGUGAGCUUAAUACGCUCAUCAAUUGACGUUACUCGCAGAAGAAGCACCGGCUAACUCCGUGCCAGCAGCCGCGGUAAUACGGAGGGUGCAAGCGUUAAUCGGAAUUACUGGGCGUAAAGCGCACGCAGGCGGUUUGUUAAGUCAGAUGUGAAAUCCCCGGGCUCAACCUGGGAACUGCAUUUGAAACUGGCAAGCUAGAGUCUCGUAGAGGGGGGUAGAAUUCCAGGUGUAGCGGUGAAAUGCGUAGAGAUCUGGAGGAAUACCGGUGGCGAAGGCGGCCCCCUGGACGAAGACUGACGCUCAGGUGCG
RNAcentral lists this ribosomal RNA (408 nucleotides) under uncultured bacterium. Its description in RNAcentral is "partial 16S ribosomal RNA". It matches the Rfam family "Bacterial small subunit ribosomal RNA", at positions 355 to 755 of the family's 1533-position model. The record is from RNAcentral.